Molecule: ribosomal RNA, 628 nt
Filed under: uncultured marine eukaryote
Lineage: Eukaryota
Description: bacterial SSU rRNA
Rfam family: Eukaryotic small subunit ribosomal RNA
Source: RNAcentral
GUUAAAAAGCUCGUAGUUGGACUUCUGCGAAGCUGCCAAUGCCCGCCAUGUUGUGUGCGCAGCGGCGACUUCGCAUCCUUCUGUUAACGCCAUUCGGUCUUCAUUGUUCGGUGGCGGGCUCAGAUACUUUACCUUGAGAAAAUUAGAGUGUUUCAGGCAGGCUAGGCCGGAAUACAUUAGCAUGGAAUAAUGGAAUAGGACUAUAGUCUCUUUGUUGGUUUGAGGGACUGCAGUAAUGAUUAAUAGGGAUAGUUGGGGGCAUUAGUACUUAACUGUCAGAGGUGAAAUUCUCGGAUUUGUUAAAGACUAACUUAUGCGAAAGCAUUUGCCAAGGAUGUUUUCAUUAAUCAAGAACGAAAGUUAGGGGAUCAAAGACGAUCAGAUACCGUCCUAGUCUUAACCAUAAACUAUGCCGACUCGGGAUCGGGGGCGCGAUUAGACGUCCUCGGCACCGUAUGAGAAAUCAAAGUCUUUGGGUUCUGGGGGGAGUAUGGCCGCAAGGCUGAAACUUAAAGGAAUUGACGGAAGGGCACCACCAGGCGUGGAGCUUGCGGCUCAAUUUGACUCAACACGGGGAAACUUACCACGUCCAGACAUAGUGAGGAUUGACAGAUUGAUAGCUCUUUCU